This 237-nucleotide ribosomal RNA is filed under the name uncultured bacterium. Its description in RNAcentral is "partial 16S ribosomal RNA". It matches the Rfam family "Bacterial small subunit ribosomal RNA", at positions 96 to 334 of the family's 1533-position model. The record is from RNAcentral.
UGGCGGGAGGGUGAGUAAUGUCUGGGGAAACUGCCCGAUGGGGGGGGAUAACUACUGGAAACGGUAGCUAAUACCGCAUAACGUCGCAAGACCAAAGGAGGGGGACCUUAGGGCCUCUUGCCAUCGGAUGUGCCCAGAUGGGAUUAGCUAGUAGGUGGGGUAAAGGCUCACCUAGGCGACGAUCCCUAGCUGGUCUGAGAGGAUGACCAGCCACACUGGAACUGAGACACGGUCCAG